Molecule: unclassified non-coding RNA, 359 nt
Organism: Cavia porcellus (domestic guinea pig)
Lineage: Eukaryota; Metazoa; Chordata; Mammalia; Rodentia; Caviidae
Gene: 7SK
Rfam family: 7SK RNA
About the family: 7SK was discovered as an abundant small nuclear RNA in the mid-70s but a possible function has only recently been suggested. Two independent studies have found that 7SK RNA binds the CDK9/cyclin T complex (known as elongation factor P-TEFb).
Source: Ensembl
GGAUGGGAAGGCAACAUGGCUGAGACAUCUGUCACCCCACUGAGCACCAGAGUCGAUUGGCUGAUCCAGACAGCUAAGCGGGUGUCCCCUUUCUCCCUCGCCACUCAUGUGUGUCCCUCCCUAAGCAGCUGCACUCUUGAUUGCUCAUCACUCAGUCAAAAAGAAUGGCUGCCCGGACAGAGGAGGACCUUUUCCUCCACUGAGGGUAUAUGAACAGCUGUGCUCCCAGCUAGAACCUCCAGACAGCCUCUCAAAUAUUACCUGUGACUGUAACAUUGUACUUGCAAAGUAGUAGUAACGCGGCGAGUGCUAGGAAGGGCAAACACACCAGCAUGCAUCCAAAGGAAACACCGUAGUAU